RNAcentral lists this ribosomal RNA (30 nucleotides) under Cylindrocarpon sp. PB1-R7-A(1) Fr. Its description in RNAcentral is "partial 17S ribosomal RNA". Lineage: Eukaryota; Fungi; Ascomycota; Sordariomycetes; Hypocreales; Nectriaceae. The record is from RNAcentral.
GGAAGUAAAAGUCGUAACAAGGUCUCCGUU